This 804-nucleotide ribosomal RNA is filed under the name uncultured Cortinariaceae. RNAcentral describes it as "eukaryotic LSU rRNA". The stretch from base 497 to 804 matches the Rfam family "Eukaryotic large subunit ribosomal RNA", at positions 1 to 302 of the family's 3401-position model. The record is from RNAcentral. Lineage: Eukaryota; Fungi; Basidiomycota; Agaricomycetes; Agaricales; Cortinariaceae.
GGGUUGUUGCUGGCUCUCUAGGGAGCAUGUGCACACCUUGUCAUCUUUAUAUCUCCACCUGUGCACAUUUUGUAGACCUGAAAAGGUCUAUGUUGCUUCAAUUUACCCCAAUGUAUGUUAAUAGAAUGUUGUGCCUAUAUAAUAUAUACAACUUUCAGCAACGGAUCUCUUGGCUCUCGCAUCGAUGAAGAACGCAGCGAAAUGCGAUAAGUAAUGUGAAUUGCAGAAUUCAGUGAAUCAUCGAAUCUUUGAACGCACCUUGCGCUCCUUGGUAUUCCGAGGAGCAUGCCUGUUUGAGUGUCAUUAAUAUAUAUAUCAACCCUCUCUUGUUGAGUGAUUUGGAUGUGGGGGUUUGCUGGGCUCAUAAAGGGUUCAGCUCUCCUGAAAUGCAUUAGCAGGACAACCCUUGUUCAUUGGUGUGAUAACUUAUCUACGCUAUUGAAUAUGAGGGGCAGUUCAGCUUUCUAACAGUCCUUGGACAAAUUCAUCAUUAAUGUGACCUCAAAUCAGGUAGGACUACCCGCUGAACUUAAGCGUAUCAAUAAGCGGAGGAAAAGAAACUAACAAGGAUUCCCCUAGUAACUGCGAGUGAAGCGGGAAAAGCUCAAAUUUAAAAUCUGGCGGUCUUAUGGCUGUCCGAGUUGUAAUCUAGAGAAGUGUUAUCCGCGCUGGACCGUGUAAAAGUCUCCUGAAUGGAGCAUCAUAGAGGGUGAGAAUCCCGUCUUUGACAUGGACUGCCAGGGCUUUGUGAUGCGCUCUCAAAGAGUCGAGUUGUUCGGGAAUGCAGCUCAAAAUGGGUGGUAA